Molecule: ribosomal RNA, 2025 nt
Filed under: metagenome
Description: bacterial LSU rRNA
Rfam family: Bacterial large subunit ribosomal RNA
Source: RNAcentral
ACGUAAGUGGAGGGCGAACCCGGGGAAGUGAAACAUCUCAGUACCCGGAGGAAAAGAAAUCAACCGAGAUUCCCUAAGUAGCGGCGAGCGAACGGGGAUUAGCCCUUAAGCUUUAUUGAUUUUAGAAGAACACUCUGGAAAGUGUGGCCAUAGACGGUGAUAGCCCGGUAUUUAAAAGGAUUAAUAGAGUGAAAUCGAGUAGGUCGGAGCACGUGAAACUUUGACUGAACAUGGGGGGACCAUCCUCCAAGGCUAAAUACUCCCUACCGACCGAUAGUGAACCAGUACCGUGAGGGAAAGGCGAAAAGAACCCCGAAGAGGGGAGUGAAAUAGAUCCUGAAACCGUAUGCGUACAAGCAGUGGGAGCACAGAUUUGUCUGUGUGACUGCGUACCUUUUGUAUAAUGGGUCAGCGACUUACUUCUCAGUGGCAAGCUUAACCGAAUAGGGGAGGCGUAGCGAAAGCGAGUCUGAACAGGGCGUUCAGUCGCUGGGAGUAGACCCGAAACCGGGCGAUCUAUCCAUGGCCAGGUUGAAGGUGAGGUAACACUCACUGGAGGACCGAACCCACUUAUGUUGAAAAAUGAGGGGAUGAGCUGUGGAUCGGAGUGAAAGGCUAAUCAAGCCCGGAGAUAGCUGGUUCUCCUCGAAAGCUAUUUAGGUAGCGCCUCGUGUAUCACUCUCGGGGGUAGAGCACUGUUAUGGCUAGGGGGCCAUCCCGGCUUACCAACCCAUUGCAAACUCCGAAUACCGAGAAGUGCAAUCACGGGAGACACACGGCGGGUGCUAACGUCCGUCGUGGAAAGGGAAACAACCCAGACCGCCAGCUAAGGUCCCAAAAUCUAUGCUCAGUGGGAAACGAUGUGGGAAGGCACAGACAGCCAGGAGGUUGGCUUAGAAGCAGCCAUCCUUUAAAGAAAGCGUAAUAGCUCACUGGUCGAGUCGGCCCGCGCGGAAGAUUUAACGGGGCUAAGCAUAGUACCGAAGCUGCGGAUGCCAGUUUACUGGCAUGGUAGAGGAGCGUUCUGUAAGCCUGCGAAGGUGAACUGUAAGGUUUGCUGGAGGUAUCAGAAGUGCGAAUGCUGACAUGAGUAACGAUAAAGGGGGUGAAAAACCCCCUCGCCGGAAGUCCAAGGUUUCCUGCUCUAUGCUAAUCAGAGCAGGGUUAGUCGGUCCCUAAGGUGAGGCCGAAAGGCGUAAUCGAUGGAAAGCAGGUUAAUAUUCCUGCACCCCAUAUAGUUGCGAUGGAGAGACGGAGAAGGCUAGGCCAGCCUGGCGUUGGUUGUCCAGGUUUAAGCGUUUAGGAAGUGUUCUUAGGUAAAUCCGGGAGCACAAUUCUGAGGCGUUAUGACGAUCUACUAAGGUAGAGAAGUGGUUGAUGCCAUGCUUCCAGGAAAAUCUUCUAAGCUUCAGACUAUAUGGGUCCGUACCCCAAACCGACACAGGUGGACAGGGUGAGAAUCCCAAGGCGCUUGAGAGAACUCGGGUGAAGGAACUAGGCAAAAUAGUACCGUAACUUCGGGAUAAGGUACGCCCCUGACGGUUUACGCUGUCGGGGGCCGCAGAGACUAGGUGGCUGCGACUGUUUACUAAAAACAUAGCACUCUGCAAACUCGUAAGAGGAAGUAUAGGGUGUGACGCCUGCCCGGUGCCGGAAGGUUAAUUGAUGGGGUUAGCUUCGGCGAAGCUCUUGAUCGAAGCCCCGGUAAACGGCGGCCGUAACUAUAACGGUCCUAAGGUAGCGAAAUUCCUUGUCGGGUAAGUUCCGACCUGCACGAAUGGCGUAACGAUGGCCACACUGUCUCCACCCGAGACUCAGUGAAAUUGAAAUCGCUGUUAAGAUGCAGUGUACCCGCGGCUAGACGGAAAGACCCCGUGCACCUUUACUACAGCUUUGCACUGAACACUGGUCCUACUUGUGUAGGAUAGGUGGGAGGCUUUGAAGCGGUGGCGCUAGCCAUCGUGGAGCCAACCUUGAAAUACCACCCUGGUAUGGUUGGGGUUCUAACCUUGGUCCGUCAUCCGG